Molecule: ribosomal RNA, 465 nt
Filed under: uncultured bacterium
Lineage: Bacteria
Description: partial 16S ribosomal RNA
Rfam family: Bacterial small subunit ribosomal RNA
Source: RNAcentral
GACGAACGCUGGCGGCGUGCUUAACACAUGCCAGUCGUACGGUGAUUCCCUUUCGGGGGUACACGAUUGGAGAACGUGUUAGUAACUCGUGAGUAACCUGCCCACAACUUGGGAAUAACGCUUGUAAACUGGGGCUAAUACUGGAUAUGUGCUCCUGCUGCGUGUUGGUGGUUGGGAAGCUCCGGCGGUUGUGGAUGUACUGGCGGCCGAUCAGGUUUGUGGUGGGGUAGGGGCCUACCAAGGCGGAGACGAGUAGCCGUCCAGAGAAGGUGACCGAGCACAUUGGGACUGAGACAGGGACAAGACUCCUACGGGAGGCAGAAGUGGCGAAUAUUGCAAUAUGGGAGCAAGCGUGAUGCAGAAGCGGCGAGUGCGGGAUGAUGGAGUUCGGGUUGUAAACCGCUUUCAGCAGGGACGAAGAUUUUUGUGACGGUACCUGCAGAAGAAGCACCGGCUAACUACGUG